This is a long non-coding RNA of Fundulus heteroclitus (mummichog), 95 nucleotides long. RefSeq lists it as uncharacterized. The record is from RefSeq and is a predicted model, not a curated record. The transcript is spliced from 2 exons. NCBI's taxonomy places the organism in Eukaryota, Metazoa, Chordata, Actinopteri, Cyprinodontiformes, Fundulidae.
GUAAUGCGAAAAGACAAACAUGUCAUUACAGUCCCAUGAACAAAUGCUUAUAAAAUCAAGUAAAUAUAUAAAAUACUGUUCCUUCAGAACAAAAA